AGCCCUACACGAGGCCAUUUUGCCCAGCACCUAUGAAUUAGCACUGGGAAAACCAACUACACAUCUGUGGAUGCAACCCUGUACAUCCUGGUCCAAAAAAGAUGAUUAAAAAGAGGCUGGGAAGUGGCCUUUUCAUUUGGUACCGUUUUUUGGACCACAGAGUCUUUCUCAGCUCAUCAGUGCCCCCUGGUGGUAUGCAGGGCGAGGGGACAAUAACGAGUCCCAUUCUUCACCGGCUGGUGACUGAAGGACAUUUUCUCAGAAGCCCUGCACCUCCUCCCCUGUGACUCAGGCACUGUGAAUAAAAGGUGCUUCCAGGAAUUCCCGGUAGAAGACGGAGUGCAGAACGGGAGAGCCAGGGCAAAGCAGGAGGAGCGCAGCCCUGGCAGGAACAGGUCAGCAUGCAGUUUGGAUCAAUAGGGAAACACCACGUCUCUUCGUGUGCACAGGCUUCUAAACUUCAUGGGAUUGUUUUCAGCAUCACAUGAGACCCUGAGUAAAAG
Long non-coding RNA from Pan troglodytes (chimpanzee), 503 nucleotides. RefSeq lists it as uncharacterized. The transcript has 3 exons. The record is from RefSeq and is a predicted model, not a curated record. Lineage: Eukaryota; Metazoa; Chordata; Mammalia; Primates; Hominidae.